GAUGAACGCUGGCGGCGUGCCUAAUACAUGCAAGUCGAGCGAACAGACGAGGAUCUUGCUCCUCUGACGUUAGCGGCGGACGGGGGAGUAACACGUGGAUAACCUACCUAUAAGACUGGGAUAACUUCUGAAAACCGGAACUAAUACCGGAUAAUAUAUUGAACCGCAGGGUUCAAUAGGCGAAGGCGAUUUUGCUGUCACUUAUAGGUGGAUCCGCGCCGGCUUAGCUAGUUGUUAAGGGAACGGUUUUCCACGGCCACGGUGGGUAGCCGACCUCGGAGGGUGAUCGGCCACACUGGCACUGAGACUCGGUCCAGACUCCUACGGGAGGCAGCAGUAGGGGAUGUUACGCAAUGGGCGAAAGCCUGACGGAGCAACGCCGCGUGAGUGAUGAAGGUCUUCGGAUCGUAAAACUCUGUUACUAGGGAAGAACAAAUGUGUAAGUAACUAUGCACGUCUUGACGGUACCUAAUCAGAAAGCCACGGCUAACUACGUG
Molecule: ribosomal RNA, 497 nt
Filed under: uncultured bacterium
Lineage: Bacteria
Description: partial 16S ribosomal RNA
Rfam family: Bacterial small subunit ribosomal RNA
Source: RNAcentral